This 360-nucleotide long non-coding RNA is filed under the name Trifolium pratense (red clover). RNAcentral describes it as "long non-coding RNA (TPRA_LNC008579)". The record is from RNAcentral. Lineage: Eukaryota; Viridiplantae; Streptophyta; Magnoliopsida; Fabales; Fabaceae.
AUAUUGAAAAGGGAGAGUAGAGACUUAUUUUGAAUGAGAGUUAUUGGGACGACCAAUUUGGUGUAAAAUAAACCUAAUCAAUAUCGAAGCAUGCUUUGCCAUCUGAUCCCUUGACGGUUGACGCAACCAAAUGUCACCUACGUACAUUCUCCACGCACUCGCCCUGAUAAAUGGUCCAUUCUAAAGCCACCUACGUACACUUCAUCCAUCCACAACAACACAAUCUCCUCUUGUGUUCAUGCACACAAUGUGUUCGACUAAUUGCUCCACAGAGGAGUCGUUUCUUACAGCACUCUAAGGAGGAUUUUUAUUAUAAUGGAUAGCUAGGUACAUGCUUUGACGACUAAAUGUGGGUUUUUG